AGCCAACGCCGGCGGCAGGCCUAACACAUGCAAGUCGAACGGACCCUUCGGGGUUAGUGGCGGACGGGUGAGUAACACGUGGGAACGUGCCUUUAGGUUCGGAAUAGCUCCUGGAAACGGGUGGUAAUGCCGAAUGUGCCCUUCGGGGGAAAGAUUUAUCGCCUUUAGAGCGGCCCGCGUCUGAUUAGCUUGUUGGUGGGGUAAUGGCCCACCAAGGCUACGAUCAGUAGCUGGUCUGAGAGGAUGACCAGCCACAUUGGGACUGAGACACGGCCCAAACUCCUACGGGAGGCAGCAGUGGGGAAUCUUGCGCAAUGGGCGAAAGCCUGACGCAGCCAUGCCGCGUGUAUGAUGAAGGUCUUAGGAUUGUAAAAUACUUUCACCGGUGAAGAUAAUGACUGUAGCCGGAGAAGAAGCCCCGGCUAACUUCGUGCCAGCAGCCGCGGUAAUACGAAGGGGGCUAGCGUUGCUCGGAAUUACUGGGCGUAAAGGGAGCGUAGGCGGACAUUUAAGU
RNAcentral lists this ribosomal RNA (514 nucleotides) under uncultured bacterium. Its description in RNAcentral is "bacterial SSU rRNA". It matches the Rfam family "Bacterial small subunit ribosomal RNA", at positions 28 to 588 of the family's 1533-position model. The record is from RNAcentral.